CCAAUAGCGUAUAUUAAAGUUGUUGCAGUUAAAAAGCUCGUAGUUGAAUUUCGGGGUUAGUAGGUUGGUCAUGCCUCUGGUAUGUACUGGUCUCACUGAUUCCUCCUUCCUGACGAACCUUAAUGCCAUUAAUUUGGUGUUUUGGGAAAUUUGGACUGUUACUUUGAAAAAAUUAGAGUGUUUAAAGCAAGCUAACGCUUGAAUACAUUAGCAUGGAAUAAUGAAAUAGGACGUUCGAUCCUAUUUUGUUGGUUUCUAGGAUUGACGUAAUGAUUAAUAGGGAUAGUUGGGGGCAUUAGUAUUCAAUUGUCAGAGGUGAAAUUCUUGGAUUUAUUGAAGACUAACUACUGCGAAAGCAUUUGCCAAGGAUGUUUUCAUUAAUCAAGAACGAAAGUUAGGGGAUCGAAGACGAUCAGAUACCGUCGUAGUCUUAACCAUAAACUAUGCCGACUAGGGAUCGGAUGAUGUUAAUUUUUUAAUGACUCAUUCGGCGCCUUACG
This 500-nucleotide ribosomal RNA is filed under the name uncultured Glomeromycotina. RNAcentral describes it as "partial small subunit ribosomal RNA". It matches the Rfam family "Eukaryotic small subunit ribosomal RNA", at positions 591 to 1092 of the family's 1831-position model. Lineage: Eukaryota; Fungi; Glomeromycota. The record is from RNAcentral.